RNAcentral lists this ribosomal RNA (220 nucleotides) under Panthera onca (jaguar). RNAcentral describes it as "partial 12S ribosomal RNA". It matches the Rfam family "Bacterial small subunit ribosomal RNA", at positions 765 to 1062 of the family's 1533-position model. The record is from RNAcentral. Lineage: Eukaryota; Metazoa; Chordata; Mammalia; Carnivora; Felidae.
UCCCAAACUGGGAUUAGAUACCCCACUAUGCUUAGCCCUAAACCUAGAUAGUUAGCUCAAACAAAACUAUCCGCCAGAGAACUACUAGCAACAGCUUAAAACUCAAAGGACUUGGCGGUGCUUUAUAUCCCUCUAGAGGAGCCUGUUCUAUAAUCGAUAAACCCCGAUAAACCUCACCAUCUCUUGCUAAUUCAGCCUAUAUACCGCCAUCUUCAGCAAA